UGGGGAAUAUUGCACAAUGGGGGAAACCCUGAUGCAGCGACACCGCGUGAGCGAAGAAGUAUUUCGGUAUGUAAAGCUCUAUCAGCAGGGAAGAAAUUGACGGUACCUGAGUAAGAAGCUCCGGCUAAAUACGUGCC
Molecule: ribosomal RNA, 137 nt
Filed under: uncultured bacterium
Lineage: Bacteria
Description: partial 16S ribosomal RNA
Rfam family: Bacterial small subunit ribosomal RNA
Source: RNAcentral